UACAGAGGGCUCAAGCGUUGUUCGGAUUCAUUGGGCGUAAAGGGUGCGUAGGCGGCGCGGUAAGUCGGGUGUGAAAUCUUGGAGCUUAACUCCGAAACUGCAUUCGAUACUGCCGUGCUUGAGGACUGGAGAGGAGACUGGAAUUUACGGUGUAGCGGUGAAAUGCGUAGAUAUCAGGAGGAACACCAAUGGCGAAGGCAGCUCGCUGGGACGGUACUGACGCUGAGGCGCGAAAGCGUGGGGAGCAAACAGG
RNAcentral lists this ribosomal RNA (253 nucleotides) under uncultured bacterium. RNAcentral's name for it is "partial 16S ribosomal RNA". It matches the Rfam family "Bacterial small subunit ribosomal RNA", at positions 524 to 776 of the family's 1533-position model. The record is from RNAcentral.